This 449-nucleotide ribosomal RNA is filed under the name Marinobacter adhaerens. RNAcentral describes it as "bacterial SSU rRNA". It matches the Rfam family "Bacterial small subunit ribosomal RNA", at positions 30 to 469 of the family's 1533-position model. Lineage: Bacteria; Pseudomonadati; Pseudomonadota; Gammaproteobacteria; Pseudomonadales; Marinobacteraceae. The record is from RNAcentral.
AUUGAACGCUGGCGGCAGGCUUAACACAUGCAAGUCGAGCGGUAACAGGGGGUGCUUGCACCCCGCUGACGAGCGGCGGACGGGUGAGUAAUGCAUAGGAAACUGCCCAGUAGUGGGGGAUAGCCCGGGGAAACCCGGAUUAAUACCGCGUACGCCCUUCGGGGGAAAGCAGGGGAUCUUCGGACCUUGCGCUAUUGGAUGUGCCUAUGUCGGAUUAGCUAGUUGGUGGGGUAAAGGCCUACCAAGGCGACGAUCCGUAGCUGGUCUGAGAGGAUGAUCAGCCACAUCGGGACUGAGACACGGCCCGAACUCCUACGGGAGGCAGCAGUGGGGAAUAUUGGACAAUGGGGGCAACCCUGAUCCAGCCAUGCCGCGUGUGUGAAGAAGGCUUUCGGGUUGUAAAGCACUUUCAGUGAGGAGGAAAACUCUGCGACUAAUACUCGUAGGGC